GGGCGGUUGGCGCAGUUGGUUAGCGCGUUGCGUUGACAUCGCAAAGGUCAUAGGUUCGAAUCCUAUACCGCCCACCA
Molecule: transfer RNA, 77 nt
Filed under: Candidatus Omnitrophota bacterium
Lineage: Bacteria; Pseudomonadati; Candidatus Omnitrophota
Description: Candidatus Omnitrophica bacterium tRNA-Val
Rfam family: tRNA
About the family: Transfer RNA (tRNA) molecules are approximately 80 nucleotides in length. Their secondary structure includes four short double-helical elements and three loops (D, anti-codon, and T loops). Further hydrogen bonds mediate the characteristic L-shaped molecular structure. tRNAs have two regions of fundamental functional importance: the anti-codon, which is responsible for specific mRNA codon recognition, and the 3' end, to which the tRNAs corresponding amino acid is attached (by aminoacyl-tRNA synthetases). tRNAs cope with the degeneracy of the genetic code in two manners: having more than one tRNA (with a specific anti-codon) for a particular amino acid; and 'wobble' base-pairing, i.e. permitting non-standard base-pairing at the 3rd anti-codon position.
Source: RNAcentral